Molecule: ribosomal RNA, 501 nt
Filed under: uncultured bacterium
Lineage: Bacteria
Description: partial 16S ribosomal RNA
Rfam family: Bacterial small subunit ribosomal RNA
Source: RNAcentral
GAUUAACGCUGGCGGCGUGCCUAACACAUGCAAGUCGAGCGGCAGCGAGUUUUACACUGAAUUCUGGAAGCUUCUAGUUGAAAGAGAAGAUUUAUUCAAGAAUUUUGUGUAAAAUGUCGGCGAGCGGCGGACGGCUGAGUAACGCGUGGGAACGUACCCCAAAGUGAGGGAUAACGCAUCGAAAGGUGUGCUAAUACCGCAUAUGGUCUUCGGAUUAAAGCCUUCGGGCGCUUUGGGAACGGCCUGCGUAAGAUUAGAUAGUUGGUGGGGUAAUGGCCUAACAAGCCGACAAUCUUUAACUGGUUUGAGAGGGGGAUAAGAAAGAAGGGAAAUGAGCCACGGUCCAGACUCCUACGGGAGGCAGCAGUGAGGAAUUUUCCAAAAUGGGAGAAAGCCUGAUGGAGAAACGCCGGGUGAAGGAUAAAGGCUUUCGGGUUGAAAACUGCUUUUAAAAGGGAGGAUUAUGGAAGUAAAUUAUGAAUAAGGAGCGGCUAAAUACGU